Molecule: ribosomal RNA, 331 nt
Filed under: uncultured bacterium
Lineage: Bacteria
Description: bacterial SSU rRNA
Rfam family: Bacterial small subunit ribosomal RNA
Source: RNAcentral
GACGUUAGCUGCAGAAGAAGCACCGGCUAACUCCGUGCCAGCAGCCGCGGUAAUACGGAGGGUGCGAGCGUUUAAUCGGAAUUUACUGGGGCGUAAAAGCGCAUGCAGGUGGUUUGUUAAGUCAGAUGUGAAAGCCCCGGGGCUCAACCUCGGAAUUGCAUUUUGAAAACUGGCAAACUAGAGUACUGUAGAGGGGGUAGGAAUUUCAGGUGUAGCGGUGAAAUGCGUAGAGAUCUGAAGGAAUACCGGUGGCGAAGGCGGCCCCCUCGGACAGAUACUGACACUCAGAUGCGAAAGCGUGGGGAGCAAACAGGAUUAGAUACCCUGGUAG